CGGCCGCGUCGACGAACGCUGGCGGCGUGCUUAACACAUGCAAGUCGAACGAAGCACCUCUUGAUUUCUUCGGAAGAAGGAGUGACUGAGUCGGCGGACGGGUGAGUAACGCGUGGGUAACCUGCCCCAUACAGGGGGAUAACAGCUGGAAACGGCUGCUAAUACCGCAUAAGCGCACAGUGCUGCAUGGCACCGGUGUGAAAAACUGAGGUGGUAUGGGAUGGGCCCGCGUCUGAUUAGGUAGUUGGCGCGGUAACGGCGCACCAAGCCCGCGAUCAGUAGCCGACCUGAGAGGGUGACCGGCCACAUUGGGACUGAUCAUCCUCUCAGACCAGUUACGGAUCGCAGCCUUGGUGAGCCAUUACCUCACCAACUAGCCUAAUCCGACCUACGGCUCAUCUGAUAGCGUCAAGGCCCGAAGGUCCCCCUGCUUUCUCCCGUAGGACGUAUGCGGUAUUACGCGUUUCCUUUCGAAACGUUUCGUCCCCCACUACCAGGGCUAGACUUUCCUAGGCAUUACCUCACCCGUCGCCGUCUGAAUUCCGG
Molecule: ribosomal RNA, 546 nt
Filed under: uncultured bacterium
Lineage: Bacteria
Description: bacterial SSU rRNA
Rfam family: Bacterial small subunit ribosomal RNA (bases 37-348)
Source: RNAcentral